This 508-nucleotide ribosomal RNA is filed under the name uncultured bacterium. RNAcentral describes it as "partial 16S ribosomal RNA". It matches the Rfam family "Bacterial small subunit ribosomal RNA", at positions 28 to 507 of the family's 1533-position model. The record is from RNAcentral.
GACGAACGCUGGCGGCGUGCCCAAUACAUGCAACUCGAACGCUUCUUUCCUCCCGAGUGCCUGCACUCAAUUGGUAAGAGGAGUUGCGGACGGGUGAGUAACACGUGGGUACCUUACCAUCUAGAGGGGGAUACCUCUCGGAAAACGGUGCUUAUACGUCUUAACCGUUUUUGCCGCAUGGCACCAAUAUGAAUGGCGCUUUCGGCUUUCGCUGAUGGUUGAACCCGCGGUGCAUUAGCUAGUUGGUGAGGUAACGGCUCACCAAGGCCAGGAUGCAUAGCCGACCUGCGGGGGUGGUCGGCCACACGGGGACUGAGACACGGCCCAGACUCCUACGGGAGGCAUCAGUAGGGAAUCUUCGGCAAUAGACGGAAGUCUGACCGAGCAACGCCGCGUGAGUGAAGAAGGUUUUCGGAUCGUAAAACUCGGUUGUUAGAGAAGAACAAGGACGUUAGUAACUGAACGUCCCCUGACGGUAUCUAACCAGAAGGCCACGGCUGACUACGGG